CAGCCUCGGGGGGCAGCAGUGGGGAAUAUUGGGCAAUGGACGCAAGUCUGACCCAGCAACGCCGCGUGAAGGAAGAAGGCUUUCGGGUUGUAAACUCCUUUUAAGGGGGAAGAGUAGAAGACGGUACCCCUUGAAUAAGCCACGGCUAACUACGUGUCAGCAGCCGCGGUAAUACGUAGGUGGCAAGCGUUGUCCGGAUUUACUGGGUGUAAAGGGCGUGCAGCCGGAGAGACAAGUCAGAUGUGAAAUCCGCGGGCUCAACCCGCGAACUGCAUUUGAAACUGUUUCCCUUGAGUAUCGGAGAG
RNAcentral lists this ribosomal RNA (305 nucleotides) under uncultured bacterium. Its description in RNAcentral is "bacterial SSU rRNA". It matches the Rfam family "Bacterial small subunit ribosomal RNA", at positions 333 to 656 of the family's 1533-position model. The record is from RNAcentral.